This 204-nucleotide long non-coding RNA is filed under the name Lathyrus oleraceus (garden pea). Its description in RNAcentral is "Pisum sativum (pea) long non-coding RNA (PSAT_LNC033878)". The record is from RNAcentral. Lineage: Eukaryota; Viridiplantae; Streptophyta; Magnoliopsida; Fabales; Fabaceae.
GCACUUGAAAAUUCAAAGCGUGUAAAGGAUGAUUUAUAAUAAUUAAAAUGGUAGAGAAAAUGGCUAUGUAUAUUUCUAUUUUCGUGUCAUUUCUAUUUGUCAAACAUGUCUAUUUAUUGUUCAUGCCACUUGAGAAAAAAUGUCUUUAGAAAAAUGAAAUACACUCCUGUAUAAUGAAACUUUAUAACGCUUGACAUUCGAAAU